This 345-nucleotide ribosomal RNA is filed under the name uncultured bacterium. Its description in RNAcentral is "bacterial SSU rRNA". It matches the Rfam family "Bacterial small subunit ribosomal RNA", at positions 527 to 873 of the family's 1533-position model. The record is from RNAcentral.
GUAGGGUCCAAGCGUUAAUCGGAAUUACUGGGCGUAAAGCGUGCGCAGGCGGUUGUGCAAGACCGAUGUGAAAUCCCCGAGCUUAACUUGGGAAUUGCAUUGGUGACUGCACGGCUAGAGUGUGUCAGAGGGGGGUAGAAUUCCACGUGUAGCAGUGAAAUGCGUAGAGAUGUGGAGGAAUACCGAUGGCGAAGGCAGCCCCCUGGGAUAACACUGACGCUCAUGCACGAAAGCGUGGGGAGCAAACAGGAUUAGAUACCCUGGUAGUCCACGCCCUAAACGAUGUCAACUAGUUGUUGGGGAUUCAUUUCCUUAGUAACGUACKAACGCGUGAAGUUGACCGCC